GCUUCUUUUCCUCACUCCCAGUGUCCUCCCAAGUUCUUCUGCCAUGCUAAUCCCUGAUUGCAUAAUAAGAACCUGGACCAAUCAAAAUUUUGGAUCAAGCUAUGGUGGUAGCUCUGUUCCAUGAUGUUAUUGAAGUUAACUACUGGCCCACUCACAGAGCCUAUGGAUUUUUGCAAGGACGAUCAUGACACAUAUAUCUGGGUAAUGCCUGAAUCUAAGAAGAGCAGCAAGAAUGCAGUGUGUGAUGGAGCGCCUUGGGAAGCAGACUGUGGCAAAGGGCCCUAUUAACUUUUUCAUUAGUCAUUUUUAACCACAUUGCACAUUAACACUUCAGCACACUGCACAAAAUAGCAAUUUAGGCUUUUUACUCAGCUACAUUUAGGAGGAAAGUGGAACAGAAUUAAAUACAAUCUAGAAAACAAAUAGUACAAAAAUGUCAUGAAUAUUAAUAGAAAUUCAGAUAAAUGUAAUGUAUUUGAGUUUGUAUCACAAAA
Molecule: long non-coding RNA, 494 nt
Filed under: Cricetulus griseus (Chinese hamster)
Lineage: Eukaryota; Metazoa; Chordata; Mammalia; Rodentia; Cricetidae
Description: lncRNA (ENSCGRG00000025830.1)
Source: RNAcentral